This 63-nucleotide transfer RNA is filed under the name uncultured Halospina sp. It matches the Rfam family "tRNA", at positions 6 to 65 of the family's 71-position model. Rfam says of the family: Transfer RNA (tRNA) molecules are approximately 80 nucleotides in length. The record is from RNAcentral. Lineage: Bacteria; Pseudomonadati; Pseudomonadota; Gammaproteobacteria.
AGUAGCUCAAUUGGCAGAGCAGCGGUCUCCAAAACCGCAGGUUGGGGGUUCGAUCCCCUCCUG